GACAGAGGUGCCGAGCGUUAGGCGGAAUCACUGGGCUUAGAGCGUGUGUAGGCGGGCGAUCAAGUACCUUGUGAAAUCCCACGGCUCAACCGUGGAACCGCUGGGUAUACUGGUUGUCUUGAGCCGGCUAGGGGCGAGCGGAACAGACGGUGGAGCGGUGAAAUGCGUAGAUAUCGUCUGGAACGCCGAAGGUGAAAACAGCUCGCUGGGGCCGCGCUGACGCUGAGACACGAAAGCCAGGGGAGCGAACGGG
This 253-nucleotide ribosomal RNA is filed under the name uncultured bacterium. Its description in RNAcentral is "partial 16S ribosomal RNA". It matches the Rfam family "Bacterial small subunit ribosomal RNA", at positions 524 to 776 of the family's 1533-position model. The record is from RNAcentral.